RNAcentral lists this long non-coding RNA (206 nucleotides) under Carica papaya (papaya). RNAcentral's name for it is "long non-coding RNA (CPAP_LNC001582)". The record is from RNAcentral. Lineage: Eukaryota; Viridiplantae; Streptophyta; Magnoliopsida; Brassicales; Caricaceae.
AUAGACCUUAACGGGUAGGUCAGCGAUCGGUUCUUCAUUAUCUUCAUCAUUUGUAGAGGGAGUCAUGGAAAGAAGUGAGUUUCAUAUACUCAGUAAGGAAAAUAGUAUUUAAAUAACAUCAUAAGAUUUUAAAAGUGAAUAAUUAUAUCAUCAAUAUUUACCAUUAGGGGUCACAUCAGGGUCCUUUCUUACUUUAUAAAAAUAAU